RNAcentral lists this ribosomal RNA (2565 nucleotides) under Escherichia coli. RNAcentral describes it as "partial 23S ribosomal RNA". It matches the Rfam family "Bacterial large subunit ribosomal RNA", at positions 398 to 2925 of the family's 2925-position model. The record is from RNAcentral. Lineage: Bacteria; Pseudomonadati; Pseudomonadota; Gammaproteobacteria; Enterobacterales; Enterobacteriaceae.
UGUGAGCUCGAUGAGUAGGGCGGGACACGUGGUAUCCUGUCUGAAUAUGGGGGGACCAUCCUCCAAGGCUAAAUACUCCUGACUGACCGAUAGUGAACCAGUACCGUGAGGGAAAGGCGAAAAGAACCCCGGCGAGGGGAGUGAAAAAGAACCUGAAACCGUGUACGUACAAGCAGUGGGAGCACGCUUAGGCGUGUGACUGCGUACCUUUUGUAUAAUGGGUCAGCGACUUAUAUUCUGUAGCAAGGUUAACCGAAUAGGGGAGCCGAAGGGAAACCGAGUCUUAACUGGGCGUUAAGUUGCAGGGUAUAGACCCGAAACCCGGUGAUCUAGCCAUGGGCAGGUUGAAGGUUGGGUAACACUAACUGGAGGACCGAACCGACUAAUGUUGAAAAAUUAGCGGAUGACUUGUGGCUGGGGGUGAAAGGCCAAUCAAACCGGGAGAUAGCUGGUUCUCCCCGAAAGCUAUUUAGGUAGCGCCUCGUGAAUUCAUCUCCGGGGGUAGAGCACUGUUUCGGCAAGGGGGUCAUCCCGACUUACCAACCCGAUGCAAACUGCGAAUACCGGAGAAUGUUAUCACGGGAGACACACGGCGGGUGCUAACGUCCGUCGUGAAGAGGGAAACAACCCAGACCGCCAGCUAAGGUCCCAAAGUCAUGGUUAAGUGGGAAACGAUGUGGGAAGGCCCAGACAGCCAGGAUGUUGGCUUAGAAGCAGCCAUCAUUUAAAGAAAGCGUAAUAGCUCACUGGUCGAGUCGGCCUGCGCGGAAGAUGUAACGGGGCUAAACCAUGCACCGAAGCUGCGGCAGCGACGCUGAUGCGUUGUUGGGUAGGGGAGCGUUCUGUAAGCCUGUGAAGGUGUACUGUGAGGUAUGCUGGAGGUAUCAGAAGUGCGAAUGCUGACAUAAGUAACGAUAAAGCGGGUGAAAAGCCCGCUCGCCGGAAGACCAAGGGUUCCUGUCCAACGUUAAUCGGGGCAGGGUGAGUCGACCCCUAAGGCGAGGCCGAAAGGCGUAGUCGAUGGGAAACAGGUUAAUAUUCCUGUACUUGGUGUUACUGCGAAGGGGGGACGGAGAAGGCUAUGUUGGCCGGGCGACGGUUGUCCCGGUUUAAGCGUGUAGGCUGGUUUUCCAGGCAAAUCCGGAAAAUCAAGGCUGAGGCGUGAUGACGAGGCACUACGGUGCUGAAGCAACAAAUGCCCUGCUUCCAGGAAAAGCCUCUAAGCAUCAGGUAACAUCAAAUCGUACCCCAAACCGACACAGGUGGUCAGGUAGAGAAUACCAAGGCGCUUGAGAGAACUCGGGUGAAGGAACUAGGCAAAAUGGUGCCGUAACUUCGGGAGAAGGCACGCUGAUAUGUAGGUGAAGCGACUUGCUCGUGGAGCUGAAAUCAGUCGAAGAUACCAGCUGGCUGCAACUGUUUAUUAAAAACACAGCACUGUGCAAACACGAAAGUGGACGUAUACGGUGUGACGCCUGCCCGGUGCCGGAAGGUUAAUUGAUGGGGUUAGCGCAAGCGAAGCUCUUGAUCGAAGCCCCGGUAAACGGCGGCCGUAACUAUAACGGUCCUAAGGUAGCGAAAUUCCUUGUCGGGUAAGUUCCGACCUGCACGAAUGGCGUAAUGAUGGCCAGGCUGUCUCCACCCGAGACUCAGUGAAAUUGAACUCGCUGUGAAGAUGCAGUGUACCCGCGGCAAGACGGAAAGACCCCGUGAACCUUUACUAUAGCUUGACACUGAACAUUGAGCCUUGAUGUGUAGGAUAGGUGGGAGGCUUUGAAGUGUGGACGCCAGUCUGCAUGGAGCCGACCUUGAAAUACCACCCUUUAAUGUUUGAUGUUCUAACGUUGACCCGUAAUCCGGGUUGCGGACAGUGUCUGGUGGGUAGUUUGACUGGGGCGGUCUCCUCCUAAAGAGUAACGGAGGAGCACGAAGGUUGGCUAAUCCUGGUCGGACAUCAGGAGGUUAGUGCAAUGGCAUAAGCCAGCUUGACUGCGAGCGUGACGGCGCGAGCAGGUGCGAAAGCAGGUCAUAGUGAUCCGGUGGUUCUGAAUGGAAGGGCCAUCGCUCAACGGAUAAAAGGUACUCCGGGGAUAACAGGCUGAUACCGCCCAAGAGUUCAUAUCGACGGCGGUGUUUGGCACCUCGAUGUCGGCUCAUCACAUCCUGGGGCUGAAGUAGGUCCCAAGGGUAUGGCUGUUCGCCAUUUAAAGUGGUACGCGAGCUGGGUUUAGAACGUCGUGAGACAGUUCGGUCCCUAUCUGCCGUGGGCGCUGGAGAACUGAGGGGGGCUGCUCCUAGUACGAGAGGACCGGAGUGGACGCAUCACUGGUGUUCGGGUUGUCAUGCCAAUGGCACUGCCCGGUAGCUAAAUGCGGAAGAGAUAAGUGCUGAAAGCAUCUAAGCACGAAACUUGCCCCGAGAUGAGUUCUCCCUGACUCCUUGAGAGUCCUGAAGGAACGUUGAAGACGACGACGUUGAUAGGCCGGGUGUGUAAGCGCAGCGAUGCGUUGAGCUAACCGGUACUAAUGAACCGUGAGGCUUAACCUUACAACGCCGAAGGUGUUU